This 761-nucleotide ribosomal RNA is filed under the name Prevotella melaninogenica. Its description in RNAcentral is "bacterial SSU rRNA". It matches the Rfam family "Bacterial small subunit ribosomal RNA", at positions 28 to 776 of the family's 1533-position model. The record is from RNAcentral. Lineage: Bacteria; Pseudomonadati; Bacteroidota; Bacteroidia; Bacteroidales; Prevotellaceae.
GAUGAACGCUAGCUACAGGCUUAACACAUGCAAGUCGAGGGGAAACGGCAUUGAGUGCUUGCACUGAAUGGACGUCGACCGGCGCACGGGUGAGUAACGCGUAUCCAACCUUCCCAUUACUGUGGGAUAACCUGCCGAAAGGCAGACUAAUACCUCAUAGUCUUCGAUGACGGCAUCAGAUUUGAAGUAAAGAUUUAUCGGUAAUGGAUGGGGAUGCGUCUGAUUAGCUUGUUGGCGGGGUAACGGCCCACCAAGGCAACGAUCAGUAGGGGUUCUGAGAGGAAGGUCCCCCACAUUGGAACUGAGACACGGUCCAAACUCCUACGGGAGGCAGCAGUGAGGAAUAUUGGUCAAUGGACGGAAGUCUGAACCAGCCAAGUAGCGUGCAGGAUGACGGCUCUAUGGGUUGUAAACUGCUUUUGUAUGGGGAUAAAGUCAAUCACGUGUGAUUGUUUGCAGGUACCAUACGAAUAAGGACCGGCUAAUUCCGUGCCAGCAGCCGCGGUAAUACGGAAGGUUCGGGCGUUAUCCGGAUUUAUUGGGUUUAAAGGGAGCGUAGGCCGGAGAUUAAGUGUGUUGUGAAAUGUAGACGCUCAACGUCUGAAUUGCAGCGCAUACUGGUUUCCUUGAGUACGCACAACGUUGGCGGAAUUCGUCGUGUAGCGGUGAAAUGCUUAGAUAUGACGAAGAACUCCGAUUGCGAAGGCAGCUGACGGGAGCGCAACUGACGCUUAAGCUCGAAGGUGCGGGUAUCAAACAGG